This 345-nucleotide unclassified non-coding RNA is filed under the name soil metagenome. Its description in RNAcentral is "partial contains 5.8S ribosomal RNA, internal transcribed spacer 2, and large subunit ribosomal RNA". The stretch from base 1 to 120 matches the Rfam family "5.8S ribosomal RNA", at positions 35 to 154 of the family's 154-position model. The record is from RNAcentral.
GAUGAAGAACGCAGCGAAAUGCGAUAAGUAAUGUGAAUUGCAGAAUUCCGUGAAUCAUCGAGUCUUUGAACGCACAUUGCGCCCCCUGGUAUUACGGGGGGCAUGCCUGUCCGAGCGUCAUUGCUGCCCUCAAGCACGGCUUGUGUGUUGGGCCUCCGUCCUCCUCCCGGGGGACGGGCCCGAAAGGCAGCGGCGGCACCGCGUCCGGUCCUCGAGCGUAUGGGGCUUCGUCACCCGCUCUUGUAGGCCCGGCCGGCGCUUGCCGACACAUCAAUCUUUUUUCCAGGUUGACCUCGGAUCAGGUAGGGAUACCCGCUGAACUUAAGCAUAUCAAUAAGCGGAGGA